Molecule: transfer RNA, 84 nt
Filed under: bacterium
Lineage: Bacteria
Description: tRNA-Leu
Rfam family: tRNA
About the family: Transfer RNA (tRNA) molecules are approximately 80 nucleotides in length. Their secondary structure includes four short double-helical elements and three loops (D, anti-codon, and T loops).
Source: RNAcentral
GCGGUUGUGGCGGAACAGGUAGACGCAAGGGAUUUAAAAUCCCUCGGUGGAGACAUCAUGUGGGUUCGAUUCCCACCAGCCGCA